RNAcentral lists this microRNA precursor (102 nucleotides) under Prunus dulcis (almond). RNAcentral describes it as "sRNA ncRNA". Lineage: Eukaryota; Viridiplantae; Streptophyta; Magnoliopsida; Rosales; Rosaceae. The record is from RNAcentral.
AUUUUAAUCUUUAAAGAGUACAGCCGGGCGGCUAUACCCUUUAACUAUAUUUUAAUAUUUAAAGAGUAUCGCCGCGCGGCUGUACUCUUUAAUUAUAUUUUA